RNAcentral lists this ribosomal RNA (1560 nucleotides) under Staphylococcus aureus. RNAcentral's name for it is "16S ribosomal RNA". It matches the Rfam family "Bacterial small subunit ribosomal RNA". The record is from RNAcentral. Lineage: Bacteria; Bacillati; Bacillota; Bacilli; Caryophanales; Staphylococcaceae.
CAUCAUAAUUUUUAUGGAGAGUUUGAUCCUGGCUCAGGAUGAACGCUGGCGGCGUGCCUAAUACAUGCAAGUCGAGCGAACGGAAGCUUGCUUCUCUGAUGUUAGCGGCGGACGGGUGAGUAACACGUGGAUAACCUACCUAUAAGACUGGGAUAACUUCGGGAAACCGGAGCUAAUACCGGAUAAUAUUUUGAACCGCAUGGUUCAAAAGUGAAAGACGGUCUUGCUGUCACUUAUAGAUGGAUCCGCGCUGCAUUAGCUAGUUGGUAAGGUAACGGCUUACCAAGGCAACGAUGCAUAGCCGACCUGAGAGGGUGAUCGGCCACACUGGAACUGAGACACGGUCCAGACUCCUACGGGAGGCAGCAGUAGGGAAUCUUCCGCAAUGGGCGAAAGCCUGACGGAGCAACGCCGCGUGAGUGAUGAAGGUCUUCGGAUCGUAAAACUCUGUUAUUAGGGAAGAACAUAUGUGUAAGUAACUGUGCACAUCUUGACGGUACCUAAUCAGAAAGCCACGGCUAACUACGUGCCAGCAGCCGCGGUAAUACGUAGGUGGCAAGCGUUAUCCGGAAUUAUUGGGCGUAAAGCGCGCGUAGGCGGUUUUUUAAGUCUGAUGUGAAAGCCCACGGCUCAACCGUGGAGGGUCAUUGGAAACUGGAAAACUUGAGUGCAGAAGAGGAAAGUGGAAUUCCAUGUGUAGCGGUGAAAUGCGCAGAGAUAUGGAGGAACACCAGUGGCGAAGGCGACUUUCUGGUCUGUAACUGACGCUGAUGUGCGAAAGCGUGGGGAUCAAACAGGAUUAGAUACCCUGGUAGUCCACGCCGUAAACGAUGAGUGCUAAGUGUUAGGGGGUUUCCGCCCCUUAGUGCUGCAGCUAACGCAUUAAGCACUCCGCCUGGGGAGUACGACCGCAAGGUUGAAACUCAAAGGAAUUGACGGGGACCCGCACAAGCGGUGGAGCAUGUGGUUUAAUUCGAAGCAACGCGAAGAACCUUACCAAAUCUUGACAUCCUUUGACAACUCUAGAGAUAGAGCCUUCCCCUUCGGGGGACAAAGUGACAGGUGGUGCAUGGUUGUCGUCAGCUCGUGUCGUGAGAUGUUGGGUUAAGUCCCGCAACGAGCGCAACCCUUAAGCUUAGUUGCCAUCAUUAAGUUGGGCACUCUAAGUUGACUGCCGGUGACAAACCGGAGGAAGGUGGGGAUGACGUCAAAUCAUCAUGCCCCUUAUGAUUUGGGCUACACACGUGCUACAAUGGACAAUACAAAGGGCAGCGAAACCGCGAGGUCAAGCAAAUCCCAUAAAGUUGUUCUCAGUUCGGAUUGUAGUCUGCAACUCGACUACAUGAAGCUGGAAUCGCUAGUAAUCGUAGAUCAGCAUGCUACGGUGAAUACGUUCCCGGGUCUUGUACACACCGCCCGUCACACCACGAGAGUUUGUAACACCCGAAGCCGGUGGAGUAACCUUUUAGGAGCUAGCCGUCGAAGGUGGGACAAAUGAUUGGGGUGAAGUCGUAACAAGGUAGCCGUAUCGGAAGGUGCGGCUGGAUCACCUCCUUUCUA